Molecule: long non-coding RNA, 200 nt
Filed under: Elaeis guineensis (African oil palm)
Lineage: Eukaryota; Viridiplantae; Streptophyta; Magnoliopsida; Arecales; Arecaceae
Description: long non-coding RNA (EGUI_LNC018464)
Source: RNAcentral
AAUCCAUUAUAGUAAAUAUCAAAACUGAAGAACCAAUAGAGCAGUAUGAGAGAUCACUUCACCUUCACAGACCAGCCAUCCAGAGAGUAGCUUAUGAUUAUUUGGUAUAUUAAAUGAAGAUGUAUUUAUUGAGAGAGUUUCUACCAGGAUCAUCACUUCAACUUGUGCAGAGUUUCAGAGAUAUACUUUAGAGGCACAGC